UAGGGAAUCUGCGGCAAUGGACGAAAGUCUGACCGAGCAACGCCGCGUGAGUGAAGAAGGUUUUCGGAUCGUAAAACUUUGUUGGUAGAGAAGAACAAGGACGUUAGUAACUGAACGUCCCCUGACGGUAUCUAACCAGAAAGCCACGGCUAACUACGUGCCAGCAGCCGCGGUAAUACGUAGGUGGCAAGCGUUGUCCGGAUUUAUUGGGCGUAAAGCGAGCGCAGGCGGUUUCUUAAGUCUGAUGUGAAAGCCCCCGGCUCAACCGGGGAGGGUCAUUGGAAACUGGGAGACUUGAGUGCAGAAGAGGAGAGUGGAAUUCCAUGUGUAGCGGUGAAAUGCAUAGAUAUAUGGAGGAACACCAGUGGCGAAGGCGGCUCUCUGGUCUGUAACUGACGCUGAGGCUCGAAAGCGUGGGGAGCAAACAGG
This 429-nucleotide ribosomal RNA is filed under the name Gemmatimonadota bacterium. RNAcentral describes it as "Gemmatimonadetes bacterium partial 16S ribosomal RNA". It matches the Rfam family "Bacterial small subunit ribosomal RNA", at positions 355 to 776 of the family's 1533-position model. The record is from RNAcentral. Lineage: Bacteria; Pseudomonadati; Gemmatimonadota.